CCUACGGGAGGCAGCAGUGGGGAAUAUUGGACAAUGGGGGAAACCCUGAUCCAGCGACGCCGCGUGAGUGAAGAAGUAUUUCGGUACGUAAAGCUCUAUCAGCAGGAAAGAAAAUGACGGUACCUGUCUAAGAAGCCCCGGAUAACUACGUGCCAGCAGCCGAGGUAAUACGGAGGGGGCAAGCGUUAUCCGGAUUUACUGGGUGUAAAGGGAGCGUAGGCGGCAGCGCAAGUCUGGAGUGAAAUGCCGGGGCUCAAUCCCGGAACUGCUGUGGAUACUGUGAAGCUGGAGUGCAGGAGAGGUAGGCGGAAUUCCUGGUGUAGCGGUGAAAUGCGUAGAUAUCAGGAGGAACACCGGCGGCGAAGGCGGCUUACUGGACUGUAACUGACGUUGAGGCACGAAGGCGUGGGGAGCAAACAGGAUUAGAUACCCUUGUAGUC
RNAcentral lists this ribosomal RNA (440 nucleotides) under uncultured bacterium. RNAcentral's name for it is "partial 16S ribosomal RNA". It matches the Rfam family "Bacterial small subunit ribosomal RNA", at positions 338 to 795 of the family's 1533-position model. The record is from RNAcentral.